UUUAUUUAUUAAUUUUUUUGCAAAUCCAGGAAAUGAAGUUAAGUCAAGCCAACAACAGCUUGUAGAAAGUAUCUCAGCUCCUUCACACUGGCUUAUGAAGGAAGAAGCUACAUGAAGUUAUUGAGCUGCCAUGUUUCCUAAUUCUUUAACCUCUUCCUGCAGGAUUGCAGUGGCAGAUGUUGCCUCAAACUUAAUGGUUGCAAAGAGAGCGAGAAGAUCAAAAUAGAAAUGCCACACCGUGUACAUCACAUCACACUGUUGUCACUGUGGCCCAGAAAGUGCCAACUCUCAUGAAACUGUGUGUCUCUCUUCUUCUGAAGUGAGAUGGAGUGUCUGCUGUUCUUGGAAGUUAACAUGACGUCAUUUCCCUGCGGCUUCAUCUGAAAUUCACUGCCAGAGCUCAUGAACAUCCGGAGUGGCCCUUUUCCAGAGGAAUGUAAAUGCUUACAGAUGCUUUAUCCAGGUAUCGUGAUGAAUGAUGUCCUGAUCCUCAUCUUUGUUCCUCAGUGAAGUUUAGCUUCAUCUCUGUGUCUGUCCUGGACCUCUGACCCCGAUGAGCACUUGGAAUUGUUUCAGAUUCAGACUACAGUCUGACAAUGACUGCACAGAUGUCCUUCACUGCUGGUGAUAUCCCACAAUCCUGUGCAUGCAACUCACAGUUGGUGGAAUAUAAAAAAAUUGGCUAAAAGAA
Long non-coding RNA from Cyprinus carpio carpio, 691 nucleotides. The record is from Ensembl. Lineage: Eukaryota; Metazoa; Chordata; Actinopteri; Cypriniformes; Cyprinidae.